This is a non-coding RNA of Pelobates cultripes (western spadefoot toad), 742 nucleotides long. The record is from the annotation of a GenBank genome assembly. NCBI's taxonomy places the organism in Eukaryota, Metazoa, Chordata, Amphibia, Anura, Pelobatidae.
GGCCAAUCAGCAUCUCCUUAUAUAGAUGAAUUUCAUUAAUGAAUCUCUAUGAGGAAAGUUCAGUGCAUGCAGAGGGAGGAGACACUGAAUGUUUGGAUGCCUUUUAGGCAGCCAUGACCCAGGAAGGAUCUCUAACAGUCAUCUAAGGAGUGGCCAGUGAAGUUAUCACUAGGAUGUAAUGUAAAGACUGCAUUUUCUCUGAAAAGACAGUGUUUACAGCAAAAAGCUUGACGGUUAUGAUUCUACUCACCAGAACAAAUUCAAUAAGCUGUAGUUGUUCUGGUGACUAUAGUGUGCCUUUAACUAUAUUCAUUGUCAGCUAGUCCACACAAGUUUUGUUCCCAUACAUCCCACUUAAGUUUCCAUACUUAAGUAAGAGUAUGUGAAAAGUAGUUAGAGUUGCCACCUUUCUUGGAAAAACAUACCGGCCUUACUAAUUUGCGUAAUUAAAUAUGUAUGGGUGACAUCACAUGAUGUAAAUCACAAGGAGUGAUAUAAGAGAAAAUGCUGUAAAAUCACCAAAAAACUACUUAGUUUGAUUCUGCUGUAUAGAUGGAUUCCUCCCAGUGCCCCCAUGUCUCCCAGUGCCCUCAUGACUCAGUGCCCCAUGUGUCGAUUACUCCAGGUCUCAGUGUUCCUAUGUAUCAGUGUCUCAGUGACCCAUGUCUCCCAGUGUCCCUUAGUGUCUGCCAUAAUGUCUCCCAGUGUCCCUUAGUGUCUGCCAUAACGUCUCCCAGUGUCC